This 68-nucleotide small RNA is filed under the name Streptomyces scabiei 87.22. Its description in RNAcentral is "ASdes TB sRNA". It matches the Rfam family "ASdes TB sRNA". Lineage: Bacteria; Bacillati; Actinomycetota; Actinomycetes; Kitasatosporales; Streptomycetaceae. The record is from Rfam by way of RNAcentral.
AGGGCCACCGGGUUGACUGCUCGAGUUGCCAACAGGUAGUCCCGGAUGACGUGGCCGUGGCGGUCCUC